Molecule: non-coding RNA, 771 nt
Filed under: Philonthus lomatus
Lineage: Eukaryota; Metazoa; Arthropoda; Insecta; Coleoptera; Staphylinidae
Source: RNAcentral
UAAAAGUUUUAUCCUAGCUUUAAAAAUAAGUUUAUAGAAAAAUUAUAUGUAAAAUUUUUAAAAUAAAAAUUUAAAUAGUUUUUAUUUGAUUAGCAAUAGAAAAUAUUAAAUAUUAAUAAAAGUUAGAUUUAGUUAUCUUUAGCAGUAUUGACAAAAUUUGUGCCAGCAGUUGCGGUUAUACAGAUAAUGCAAUUUAUUUAUUUUAGUUUAUAAUUAAUUAGUAUUUUUAAAAAUUAUUAAUAAAAAAUUAUUAGGUGGAAUUUUUAAUUUUUUUUAUAUUUAUUUAAGAUAAUGAAGUUAUUAAAUUUAAUUUUAGACUAGGAUUAGAUACCCUAUUAUUUUAAAUGUAAAAUUUAAUACUUAAUGAUUAAUAGUUAUGUUCUUUAAAGUUAAAGGAUUUGGCGGUAUCUUAGUCUAUUUAGAGGAACCUGUUCUAUAAUCGAUAAUCCACGAUUUAUUAUACUUAUUUUAAUUAGUUUGUAUACCGUCGUAGUUUGAAUAUUUUAUAAGAAUAAAAAUAUUCAAGAAUCUUAAUAAGGAAAAAAAUCAGAUCAAGGUGCAGUUUAUAAAUAAGAAGAAAUGGGUUACAAUAAAUUUAUUUAAAUGGUUAAAUAUUUGAAAAAUAUUUAUUAAAGUGGAUUUAAAAGUAAUAAUGUUAAAUUAAAUUUUAUGAUUUUAGCUCUAAGAUAUGCACAUAUCGCCCGUCGCUCUCGUAUAAAAUGAGAUAAGUCGUAACAUAGUAGAUGUACUGGAAAGUGUAUCUAGUUAGAU